Molecule: ribosomal RNA, 689 nt
Filed under: Salmonella enterica
Lineage: Bacteria; Pseudomonadati; Pseudomonadota; Gammaproteobacteria; Enterobacterales; Enterobacteriaceae
Description: partial 23S ribosomal RNA
Rfam family: Bacterial large subunit ribosomal RNA
Source: RNAcentral
GUGUCUGGUGGGUAGUUUGACUGGGGCGGUCUCCUCCUAAAGAGUAACGGAGGAGCACGAAGGUUGGCUAAUCCUGGUCGGACAUCAGGAGGUUAGUGCAAUGGCAUAAGCCAGCUUGACUGCGAGCGUGACGGCGCGAGCAGGUGCGAAAGCAGGUCAUAGUGAUCCGGUGGUUCUGAAUGGAAGGGCCAUCGCUCAACGGAUAAAAGGUACUCCGGGGAUAACAGGCUGAUACCGCCCAAGAGUUCAUAUCGACGGCGGUGUUUGGCACCUCGAUGUCGGCUCAUCACAUCCUGGGGCUGAAGUAGGUCCCAAGGGUAUGGCUGUUCGCCAUUUAAAGUGGUACGCGAGCUGGGUUUAGAACGUCGUGAGACAGUUCGGUCCCUAUCUGCCGUGGGCGCUGGAGAACUGAGGGGGGCUGCUCCUAGUACGAGAGGACCGGAGUGGACGCAUCACUGGUGUUCGGGUUGUCAUGCCAAUGGCACUGCCCGGUAGCUAAAUGCGGAAGAGAUAAGUGCUGAAAGCAUCUAAGCACGAAACUUGCCCCGAGAUGAGUUCUCCCUGAGACUUAAAGUCUCCUGAAGGAACGUUGAAGACGACGACGUUGAUAGGCCGGGUGUGUAAGCGCAGCGAUGCGUUGAGCUAACCGGUACUAAUGAACCGUGAGGCUUAACCCUACAACGCCGAAG